Molecule: non-coding RNA, 2121 nt
Organism: Callithrix jacchus (white-tufted-ear marmoset)
Lineage: Eukaryota; Metazoa; Chordata; Mammalia; Primates; Cebidae
Source: RefSeq, a predicted model, not a curated record
UUUUCUGGUGUGUUCACCCUGUCUUUGUGUGAAAACAGUCAUCCAACCCUGGAAAUAGGACCUUCAGGAGUAAGACGUGGCUCAAGCUCAUCUUCCCCUCUGCCUCUCAGUUAUAAAAAGUUCUUAUCAGAACUGAUUCCUAUUUAGUCUCUGCAAAUUCUGUUGCAGCGUGGCUUUUUUAUCCGUAGGCCCCCUUUUCCUCUUUUCUUUCUUUUUUUUUUUUUUUUUUUGUUAAUCAAUGAGAGCUUGUUUUGUUGCUCAGGUUGGCCUUGAACUCAUAGCGCCAGGACAACUGGCCGGAGCCACUGCAGCUCCCUCCUCUUUUCUUUUUAAUCGGCUCAGGGAGACCAUCUUAUGUUACUCAGACAAGAUUGUCAGAAACAGAUACAGGUUUAUCUGGUGACAAAAUGAGUGAUCCUUUUGAAAAGCUAGAUGAUGGCUUCUCUAGUUAGGUUUCUGAGACAAAUAUGAAAGUCGUGAUCAUUUUUUGAAAUUUAAUUUUUAAUUGACAUCUAAUUAUUAUACAUAUUCAUAGGGUACAUAGUGAUGUUUGAAUAUAUAUAAGGUAUAGUGAUCAGAUGGGGGAGUUAGCAUAUUUAUCAUGUCAAAUAUUUAUCAUUUCUUUGUGUUGGGAACAUUCAGUCUCUUCCUUCCAGCUAUUUGAAACUGUAUUUAUUGCUAGCUAUCAUCAUCCUGCACUGGGACAGAACACUAGAACCUAUUCCUCCUAUCUAGCUGUAAAUUUGUAUCCUUCCACAAAUCUCUCCCUAUCCUUCCCUUCUCCUGCCCCUCCCAGACUCAGGAUCCUCUCUUCUACCUCUUACUUCUGUGAGAUCAACUAAAAGUUGUAAUUUCCUGGCCAUCUAUUUGGGCCUAUUUUGGAGAGACUGUAGCUAAUUGUCAACCUUUUAAUUAAUAGUCAAGAAAUCUGAGCUUGUGGAUAAAACUAAGAAAGAAAGAUGUACAAUGUGAGGCCCCAAGACUGAAUGCAAGGAAAAAUAAAAAGAGGAAAGCCGUUGCACAGAGUAUCCCAUGAGUGGGCAUGAACAAGUGUUGACAUACACGCACGGGGGCAUAAUGAGGCCUUCCAGGCCCUGGAAUGUGCAGAUACCUCUGGAGUGCACUCACUGACAGGAGGAUUCAAUCCGUGAAAACAAGCUGGGUUUACUUUGCUGCCAUAGGAGAAAGGUGUGUGUUUCACCAUUUGCCUUAUGGAUCUGAAAAACAUUAAACCAGAUUGGGCAACAAUUUCGAAAAAUUUCCUGAAGUUGACUGAUGACAGGACAUGGAUGUCUGACGUCUGAACUGCCUGGCCAGGACUGGGAAGAGAUGUCAGGAAAGGAGCAGUGAGGGUCCUUCUCUGAUUCUUCUCUCCCUGUCUCCUGUUGAUGCCUUCGUUUGGGGGUGACUGUCUGCAGGGAUAAACUCCUCCUCUUCUUUUCAAACAUUUCGGUCUUUAAAAGUUUUGUUCACCAUCAUUAAAAAUAUCUAUGGAAGCUAAAGAAAAUGUGUAAUGCUAAGGCAGGAAGGACCUAUUGUCCUGGGGUCCUGGGUGAACGGAGAAUGCUGCUGCUUGCCUCUGCGUAGUUUUUCUUACAGGAGAUGUAAUUAAGGUCUCAGCUCCAGUGUCAUCACGGGAGGAUUUUCUGUCCAUCUGCUGGAAGGUUAGCCAGCCUCUGAUCUCACUUACCCUCUAUGACAUCACCCGUCAUUGUUUUCCUCACAGCAUUUAUCAUUGUCUAAAAUGAUACUGUAUUUUUAUUUUUUUGUUUAUCAUCUACCUCCUCCACUAAAAUAGAAACACUGUACGUUCAAGGCUGGCAUCUGUCCUGUUCACCUUGUGUCUCCCGUUUGUAUAAUAGCAUAUCAUAUCAUGAGCACUCAAUGGCUGAAGGAUGAAAGUUUGAAGAGAUUAAGUUAUAACAAAAGCCAAGACUUCUAUGGCUCUUAUCAUAGUAUCCAGGUACUUCUUCAAACACUUUAAACAUAUCAGUUCAUUUCAUUUUGCUGAUAAACACAUGAGGUAGGCACUAGGAUGGUUCUUAUUUACAGAUUAGUAUACUAAGGCACAGAGGAGUUGCCUAAGGUCACACAGUAAUAAAUACUAGAACGACAAUUCAA